GCGAGAAUCGCCUCGUAUCCUCCAGGUAUCUCCAUAGUUUCACUUAUUACAACUUGUCCAAUAAAUGACACCCCAUCAGAUGAUGUGCACUUAAUUCUUUCACCAUUUUGCAAAACUCCAAAGUACAGCAGUCCAGGUUACCAUCUGUUUGCAACAACCAAUCCAUUCCAAGCAUUGCAAGUAUCGAUAGGUCAACAAAUACGGCCUUUGCAGGUCGUAAAGUCCUACUGAUUUGCAAGUCUACCCAGGCUGUUCCACGUACGUUCAAUGGACUACCGUCAACUUGCCAAUACUCAGUCUUCACAGCGUUCCAACACGGGCCAUUGUUCAUUGGGUAACUGAUAGAAGACAUCAGCCUCCCGACGGGCCUCUCGGUCAUUUGUUCCCUGUUUCCCUGGUUAUAGGAUCGUUUGGCUCUGGGUUUCUGGCAUUCUUUUGCAAAAUGCCCCAGCGUGCCACAGUUGUGACACUCCAACUCGGUUUUAUCACGCCAUCUUGUAUGUGCACGGUGAGCUUAGUGCUGGUAGCCCAGAUGACACCGCUUUGAGGACUUUAUCCAUUUGCUUAGUCAAAUCGCUUACACACUUCACCUGCUGACUUGCAGCUUUCUCAAUAGUCUGGAUCCAGUCCUCCAUACCAUGAUCCAUGCCCCUUGCAAACUUGGGGGACUUAUCAAAUCUCCUCUGAGACUCUACCUUAAGAAAGCUCUUUAAGGCAGCCUGGAGUGCCUCAGAUAGGUUUUUUGGUCUCGCACGAAAUACGCCCUUUCAUAUGUGUUGAUCGGAUACGGCAUCAACAAGUGAUUUUUCUCCAACCAGUCCCUUGCUUCUUCAGGGAUUUCCGGAUAUGCUUUUACUGCCAGCUCGUGGAUUGCUUGGCAUAACUCCUGCAUAGUUUCUUUCGGCUUUUGCCAGCGAUGACGUAGUUCAACAAGGAAGUUUUUGACUUGUUGACCUGGCCCAAAUCUUCUUGCUAACAACUUUACAAGCUCAUCAUAACUCAGCUUAUGCCCUUUGUUAGCUCCCUCUCCAGAUACUGAGCUGCUUGGUCAUUAUCCCACCGGUUCACUAACUGCAGCUUUCAAAGUGCCUGUAAUAUUCUGUCCAUGGGACUUUCCCACUGAAACAAUCGGGGACUAUAUUUGGACGGCGCAGAGCUCGAGACAUCUGCUCCUUCAGCCCAUCUUCCCCAAUAAACCUUACAUCCUUCUUUAGCUUGGGAGGCUCCGCCUCCUCUGCCCUAAGAUUGUCUGCCUCCACCUGAUCAACCCUACUAAUUGUUGGGUGUGUAGCAAAGCUCAACAAAUCGCAGUGUCGCUUCUUCUCUAUGCCAGAUGCGCAUGGAAUGCGGACAUUACUGUUCUUGUUCACAUCUGGCUCUGACAAAGCAGAGAUCACUGGACUGGAUACCCUGUCUUUUCUAGGGGUUGUCCAAUCAAAACUCAAGUAGGAAGGUGGGUUUCUGGGGUCUUUCGUACCGUACCCAUGGUCGCGUACCCAGAAGUCUCACCCUUACUUUCAGCCAACAAUUGGCAUGGAAACUGCAACUCUAUGUCCGAGUCUACCCGAACCAUUUUAUAUGUCUGUGUAGCAGGGGCAGAUUUAACUUAUUUUUUUUUCUUUGUACUAAAUGCAAAUGUCCACACACUGUAUAGGAGUAGCACCCCUUAGUCUACCCAUCCUGAAGUUGCAUUGUGCCCCUCAUAAUUGUUUACUUGAUGAUGACUCAUGCAACUGGACAGGCACUGUGGGCAUGCUUUGAGCCCAAGUCUCAGUAAGCAGGUUGGCAGUCGGUGAAGUAACACACCUAUUAAAUACCAGUCAAGUUCUGCCUUGAAAGCUCAGACCUGCGGUGGACUUGACGCUGCCUUCAACGCUGUAUUUUCAAUCCUGUGCCAAGCAACGUGAUUGCAUCCCCCUCAUACUCACACAGCACCCUCGAAACAUCCCGUCCUUGGUGUGAAGGGGUUAUCUUGAGAGGCAGUCAGCAAACUACUCUGCAGGGUUUCUGAGUCACACUGAUGGCUUGUCUCAUGUGCUGCCAACUUUGGCCUGCAUUGCUGCAUUCUACACAGGCAAAUCUAAGAGUUUGCUGGAAGUAGUCGGUUACGUUUUUAAUGCCCAUGAAGUUAACAUGUUGUUUGGACUCUGGACACUGCAUUCUGUUGAACUAUCUUUACUGAACAAGUGCCUGAUGCAGUUAAGACAAAAUACAUGCUUGCAUGGUGUUUCAACAGGAUUAUUCAAGAAUUGUUUACAUAGUGAACAGUUAUACAUAGAGCAUGUGAGAGUGAAACCCUUUUGGCAUAUUUGUUGUUCAUCUGCAUCAGUUAGGGAGUGGAAGUGAUGUUGAGGUGUAAUUGGCUGUGCCUUUGAUUUUGCAGCCAGACCAGUUAGGGGUUUUCUUGGCCUACCUCGUUUUGCUCUUUGUUUGUACAGACUGCAGGUCCGACACUCAUUUGACUCUGAGGAAUGGGGUUUCCACUCAGCAGGUAUGUGCUUCAUUGUAUAGGCGUAGUACAGGCGGCAUAAAUGCACAUGGGUGCACAUCCUCGGUGUCACUGGCCACGUCCACGCCGAAAAAUAGACAAAUCUUCCCAAUAUAAGCAGAGAUUUUCAUUGGUUUCUUGCCUCUCACCUCUUCCUGUUGGCUUUAAUUGUUACCACCGCAGAGCCUACAGAGUUUUCCCAAGAACUCUCGGUGGUCUUCAAGUGAACCCGUGCUCAAACUUCAAAUCAUAUAUGGUUUCGCAAGCAGGUGUAUCAGCUUAAAUGCUUACGAUUAAUAUUUAAAUUUACUGCGGUGUUGUAAACAGCAAUUGGAUUCAUGGUCCUCAUUGAUUUGUUGAAAAUAUGUUCUGAAACCAAACUGUUUUGUGAUACUUUCCCACAGGUCACAUUCACAUUGGAAAACUACAUGUUUCACAUUUUGAAAAAUCCAGGUUUGGGACACUUCUGUUAUUUUAAUAAUUUUUUUACAACAGUCUGGACAACGUGCACCACUGUAUAUGACUAGCCUAUGGGAACUUGCUGACGCGCCCCUACUUUGAGUCUCCCAAAGAGAAAAUUGACUGAAGUCGACAAUGCUUUCAGUUUACACCCUGAGAAUUUCUUAUGACCCUCAAACCAGCGUGAAUACUUCUAUUAAACAUUGUUUUGUAUGGUGACGUGCCAUUUUUGCUCAAGAAAACUGUUGAGGUAGUGAAAAAAUAUUACUUUUAUGUGUGAAAGUGGUUUUGAUUACUACGUUGAUUUUUUUGUUUGUUUGUUUUUUUUGUUAAUGUAGAUUUUGUUGUAUCUGAGAAGUGUAAAAUAAUUUUUCCAAAUGUAUUUUACAAAAUCUAUACUAUUUCUAUACAGAUAUCACAUAACACAUAACAGAGCAUACCGAGGCGUCUGAAAAUUGUCAGUUUUCUGGCCUUUCGUUUGGAGAAAAUAUACCAAACGUCGUCUGCUCCAGUUUAUUAUGCUGAUAUAACCCAGUGCGCAUGCAUGACCUAACCAACUAAGCAAACACAAGCCUUAUCGUGCUGUAGCAUACGUGAGAGGGCCAGGUGAAGUCUAAUCUCUGUAUGUGAAAUAAAAAUUACAUCCCUAAAACAAGGCAUUCUUAUAAAAGUCAUCCACUACAUUGUCAGUUAAGUGAACAUGUAACCGAAUCCACUUCGCCAAAAAUCAGAUUUUUGAAACCAAUCCCUUCCAUUUUCCUCCAAGCAAAACUUGAUUUAACAAAAUGACAGGCUUUACUAAAUCAAGAGGGCGCUAUAGAGAAAACUGAGCCCACAAUUGACAAUAGAAAGAUUAGUACUUUGUCUGAAAUAUGAGCAUUAACUCAGCUUAUCACAGUCCUUACACCAUACAAACUACUAGAUUUUUGGUGAACCCACAAAAUGAAAUAAGUUAGAAUGUACUGCGGAGGUGAUCACAGUAAUGAGAAUUCAAAGAAAAGUAGGGGGGAACCCUGACCGUAUGGCUGAUGUGGCUGUCAAGGAAUGGUGCCAUCUUAGAAAGUUGCAAAUGUACCAAAUUUGGUCUGCUAAAAAAACACUUCAUGCAAGAAUUUCUAACAAUCAUGAACUUCAGGAAGCUCUAAUUAAACACUUUCCUGUUUAUGUACACUGGUACAUGUAUGGCUGAUUUAAAUAAUGGGAGGAAAAGGAGGCCGGGAAAUUUACCUGCAAAUUUCAGGUCGAAUAUACAUGAUCACGCACAACACAAGGAGGCGGCAAGUUGGCAUAAGCAACCUCCGGCCCUUGGUGGCGCACUUCAACUACACACACCUGGCUUUGCGACAACACGGCCUCCAUAGGUUGUCUCUAGCCUGCAACCUACACAUACAUGUAUGCAUUAUUUUCUAGUUCAUUACUCCAUUCACUCAGUGCUCCCUCACUCGCUUGACUCCCAUGGGAGCAGCUGCCAUGAUCUUCCUCUUUAUUGUAGCACCAAUGUCAGGAAAUGGAAAAAUGUAAAAUUUGUGUGGGUUUAAUAUCUUACAUUUGUUAUUCUGCUCCCCUCGUUCCCGGGAUACUUUCCAACCUUAUACAACCCUAAUGGAACUAUCUGUGGUAUGCAAUGGUGGAGGUCAUGAUGUUUACCUCACUUCCUAACUCAGUCCAUUGUUUUAGGGGAACUUUCCCACAGUCCUGACCAAGUAUUUUUAGAAAAAGAAUGCCGGUUUUCGUUCUUUGGGAGAUUCAUCAAAUUGGAGGUUGCAAGUUG
Acanthaster planci (crown-of-thorns starfish) is the source of this 4718-nucleotide long non-coding RNA. The record is from RefSeq and is a predicted model, not a curated record. NCBI's taxonomy places the organism in Eukaryota, Metazoa, Echinodermata, Asteroidea, Valvatida, Acanthasteridae.